Molecule: transfer RNA, 87 nt
Filed under: Verrucomicrobium sp. GAS474
Lineage: Bacteria; Pseudomonadati; Verrucomicrobiota; Verrucomicrobiia; Verrucomicrobiales; Verrucomicrobiaceae
Rfam family: tRNA
About the family: Transfer RNA (tRNA) molecules are approximately 80 nucleotides in length. Their secondary structure includes four short double-helical elements and three loops (D, anti-codon, and T loops).
Source: Rfam by way of RNAcentral
GGACAGAUGGCCGAGUGGUUUAUGGCUGCAGUCUUGAAAACUGCCGUGCCUGCAAAGGCACCGUGGGUUCGAAUCCCACUCUGUCCG